UGGUGCAUGGUUGUCGUCAGCUCGUGUCGUGAGAUGUUGGGUUAAGUCCCGCAACGAGCGCAACCCUACUUGCUAGUUACCAUCAUUAAGUUGGGGACGUCUAGCGAGACUGCCAGUGAUAAACUGGAGGAAGGUGGGGAUGACGUCAAAUCAUCAUGCCCCUUAUGACCUGGGCUACAAACGUGAUACAAUGGCUGGAACAAAGGGAUGCGAAGCAGUGAUGUGGAGCGAAACCCAUAAAAACAGUCUCAGUUCGGAUUGAAGUCUGCAACUCGACUUCAUGAAGUCGGAAUCGCUAGUAAUCGCGGAUCAGAACGCCGCGGUGAAUACGUUCUCGGGGUUU
This 343-nucleotide ribosomal RNA is filed under the name uncultured Acholeplasma sp. Its description in RNAcentral is "bacterial SSU rRNA". It matches the Rfam family "Bacterial small subunit ribosomal RNA", at positions 1039 to 1382 of the family's 1533-position model. Lineage: Bacteria; Bacillati; Mycoplasmatota; Mollicutes; Acholeplasmatales; Acholeplasmataceae. The record is from RNAcentral.